AGUGAACGCUGGCGGUAGGCCUAACACAUGCAAGUCGAACGGCAUCACAUUAAGAGCUUGCUCUUACGGGUGGCGAGUGGCGGACGGGUGAGGAAUACAUCGGAAUCUACUUUUUCGUGGGGGAUAACGUAGGGAAACUUACGCUAAUACCGCAUACGACCUACGGGUGAAAGCAGGGGAUCUUCGGACCUUGCGCGAUUGAAUGAGCCGAUGUCGGAUUAGCUAGUUGGCGGGGUAAAGGCCCACCAAGGCGACGAUCCGUAGCUGGUCUGAGAGGAUGAUCAGCCACACUGGAACUGAGACACGGUCCAGACUCCUACGGGAGGCAGCAGUGGGGAAUAUUGGACAAUGGGCGCAAGCCUGAUCCAGCCAUACCGCGUGGGCGAAGAAGGCCUUCGGGUUGUAAAGCCCUUUUGUUGGGAAAGAAAAGCAGCAGGUUAAUACCCCGCUGUUCUGACGGUACCCAAAGAAUAAGCACCGGCUAACUUCGUG
RNAcentral lists this ribosomal RNA (492 nucleotides) under uncultured bacterium. RNAcentral describes it as "partial 16S ribosomal RNA". It matches the Rfam family "Bacterial small subunit ribosomal RNA", at positions 29 to 507 of the family's 1533-position model. The record is from RNAcentral.